GGGGAAGCUGACAGUGAGAAAUUGGUGGAGUCAAAAAGGCAGCAGAAUCCGGGGAACGAAGAGGCGAAUCUCAGUUUUGGACUGUUUGAUCACUUGACUGGAUAAGUUACUUUCUCCCAGAAGAUCAGCACACUCAUCUCCAGGAUUACGGUCUGCAGAAUCAGUUGAUCAAACAUCUAACCAAUACUUCAUCCAUUCAAUUCAUCAAUGGGAGAAACAUAUGAGAGGAGUGAUUUAUGUCCACUCAUGUCCACUUACUGGAGGAACAGUCCAACCAAUCAGCAGUGCUUGUGCCCUCGGUGGCUUUUUGGGUCAAUUUUUACCAGACUGAUCGCUGCCUUUGUGUGCCCGGACCAAGACUGGACUUUCAAUUUUGGCAGAAAAAUCAAGGUGAUUAACUGCAUCUGGAGUACCACGAAUCCUCUCCACAAAAGGAGGACAUCGCGACCUAGUGAGGAUCCCGAACCCUGAUUGGUUUCUGAUUACAUCAAAGGGACACUUAAAAGGGACUACACCUCCAGCGGUACCAUUGUGGUAAAGUUAUACCAUCAGGACUGUGCCGUCAGUCCUUUAUUACUCCCUUCAGCCAUCUGCAAUCCAGCCUAUCAAAAAUAGGAAUGGAUCACACUCUAUAGGCAGCUGUUAUUACUGUGACCCUUUUUCUUACUGUUUUUAUUGAUUUUUAAUGUUGUUUUUAUUUAUGUGUAAAGUAAUUAAAUGAAUACAUGUUUUUCAUUCAAUUCUUCUCACUCAUAGUAUUAUAGAUUCCUGUUAGCGCUGCUAUUUUUGUGUUGUUCAGGGAUGCCAACAAGGCCGUCUAUUUGUAUGGGCUUAAUGGGCAGUUGCCUAAGGACCCCAGGAGAAUAAGGGCCAUUGACUGAUACUUUAGAUGAGUUUUUCUGAGGGUAUACUAAUUGCCAUUUCUACCGGUGUGUGAGCUGUGCGAUUGCGUCAUGGCACUUUAUGUACCCUAUGCUGCUCUUCCUCUAUUCUCUUACACAGUACUCCGCUCGGGGGGUGGGAGGUUUGCAGCAUGGAGCGGUUGUUCCCACCAGCGUGUAUACAUGCCUUGGCAAUGAGCAUUACCCUUAACAAUGAGCAUUACCCUUGGCAAAGAGCAUUACCCUUAACAAUGAGCAUUACCCUUGGCAACAAACAUUACCCUUAACAAUGAGCAUUACUCUUGACAAUGAGCAUUACCCUUGGCAACAAACAUUACCCUUAACAAUGAGCAUU
Molecule: long non-coding RNA, 1236 nt
Organism: Pseudophryne corroboree (corroboree frog)
Lineage: Eukaryota; Metazoa; Chordata; Amphibia; Anura; Myobatrachidae
Exons: 4
Source: RefSeq, a predicted model, not a curated record